UACAGGGGGGGCAAGCGUUGUUCGGAAUUACUGGGCGUAAAGGGUUCGUAGGUGGCCAACUAAGUCAGACGUGAAAUCCCUCAGCUUAACUGGGGAACUGCGUCUGAUACUGGAUGGCUUGAGUGCAGGAGAGGAACGCGGAAUUCCAGGUGUAGCGGUGAAAUGCGUAGAUAUCUGGAGGAACACCGGUGGCGAAGGCGGCGUUCUGGACUGCAACUGACACUGAGGAACGAAAGCCAGGGGAGCAAACGGG
This 253-nucleotide ribosomal RNA is filed under the name uncultured bacterium. RNAcentral's name for it is "partial 16S ribosomal RNA". It matches the Rfam family "Bacterial small subunit ribosomal RNA", at positions 524 to 776 of the family's 1533-position model. The record is from RNAcentral.